This 36-nucleotide ribosomal RNA is filed under the name Physcia aipolia. RNAcentral describes it as "26S ribosomal RNA". Lineage: Eukaryota; Fungi; Ascomycota; Lecanoromycetes; Caliciales; Physciaceae. The record is from RNAcentral.
UUGACCUCAGGAUCAGGUAGGGAUACCCGCGAACUA